RNAcentral lists this ribosomal RNA (402 nucleotides) under uncultured bacterium. RNAcentral's name for it is "bacterial SSU rRNA". It matches the Rfam family "Bacterial small subunit ribosomal RNA", at positions 355 to 775 of the family's 1533-position model. The record is from RNAcentral.
UGGGGAAUAUUGGACAAUGGGGGAAACCCUGAUCCAGCGAUGCCGCGUGAGUGAUGAAGGCCUUCGGGUUGUAAAGCUCUUUCAGUGGGGAGGAUAAUGACGUUACCCACAGAAGAAGGACCGGCUAACUUCGUGCCAGCAGCCGCGGUAAUACGAAGGGUCCUAGCGUUGUUCGGAAUUACUGGGCGUAAAGGGUGCGUAGGCGGUUUAUUAAGUCAGGUGUGAAAUCCCCAAGCUCAACUUGGGAACUGCAUUUGAUACUGGUAAGCUAGAGAUCGGAAGAGGUGAGUGGAAUUCCUAGUGUAGAGGUGAAAUUCGUAGAUAUUAGGAAGAACACCAGCGGCGAAGGCGGCUCACUGGUCCGAUACUGACGCUAAGGCACGAAAGCGUGGGAGCAAACAG